ACGUGGUUUACGGGGACUCUUAAUGGGACCAACACGUCACCUGUAAUUAAAGUCUACAUUCAUUGCGACAUACAGAAGGUGUAGAUAUCGGUGACGUAACAUUACAUCCCCACCCACACGUGAAACAGGUGGCUAACAGGACUGAUAUGCUAACCUGCAAGCAAAUAGAGUUGCAGGAUGUACCACAACACAUGAUGCUCACCUCUGCUUCAUCAGCGUAGACAGUGCCAGCUCCAGCGACAGUUCCUCAACUCAUCCUGCAUCCUUCCUUCAGUGGACUCCAGUCUAGACUCCAAAGGGGGGGGUGUCCUAUCCAGCUCUCGGCCUCACUUCCCCUUCAGGGACAUGAAGACAGCACGAUGCAGUCUAAUCAACAAAGACUUUGCACAUUUCUCAUAUUUUCCAGCGCUUUUUAUUGAAAAGUAUUUUUUAUACUAUAAAAAGCAAUAAAUAAUGAUUUAAUUUUUGUCUAAACUGAGACAAAAACACGUCAAAA
This is a long non-coding RNA of Notolabrus celidotus (New Zealand spotty), 496 nucleotides long. RefSeq lists it as uncharacterized. Lineage: Eukaryota; Metazoa; Chordata; Actinopteri; Labriformes; Labridae. The transcript has 3 exons. The record is from RefSeq and is a predicted model, not a curated record.